RNAcentral lists this ribosomal RNA (315 nucleotides) under uncultured eukaryote. RNAcentral describes it as "partial 18S ribosomal RNA". It matches the Rfam family "Eukaryotic small subunit ribosomal RNA", at positions 1470 to 1796 of the family's 1831-position model. The record is from RNAcentral.
CCCUUAGACGUUCUGGGCCGCACGCGCGCUACACUGACCGGUGCAACAAGCAUCCGUCCUUGGCCGACAGGCCCGGGCAAUCUUUGAACGCCGGUCGUGAUGGGGAUAGACUUUUGCAAUUUUUGGUCUUCAACGAGGAAUUCCUAGUAAACGCAAGUCAUCAACUUGCAUUGAUUACGUCCCUGCCCUUUGUACACACUGCCCGUCGCACCUACCGAUUGAAUGGUCCGGUGAAGCCUCCGGAUUGGCGCGCACCUCGGUGCCGCCGAGAAGUUGGCUAAACCUUACCAUUUAGAGGAAGGUGAAGUCGUAACA